Long non-coding RNA from Amphiprion ocellaris (clown anemonefish), 344 nucleotides. The record is from Ensembl. Lineage: Eukaryota; Metazoa; Chordata; Actinopteri; Pomacentridae.
CAACACAAUGAAUGAAUUCCUAAAACACUCUCAAUGCUGGAGAGCGUUUGUGAUGCUGAAGCAGUGACCAGUUUUUCUGUUUCUUCUCUGGAGAUACACAAUGAGGGACGUCUGCAGCGACUGAGAAAGAGUCUCACCACAUCCUGACAUGAGGAAAAAGACUUUAUUGAAGACUACAAUGAGAAAAACUAUCAGACAGCAGACGGCUGCAUUCAAGAUUGUUCCAGAUAAGACAAGUACAAGAUUCUUCAGAGCCGUUCUACCACGAGCCUGACAGGAAGAACUCCAACAGCUACUGAAUGUUCCUGUGGUCCCUUCAAGGCUACAGGAGGAGUCCUACGAGG